Molecule: long non-coding RNA, 656 nt
Filed under: Salvia miltiorrhiza (redroot sage)
Lineage: Eukaryota; Viridiplantae; Streptophyta; Magnoliopsida; Lamiales; Lamiaceae
Description: long non-coding RNA (SMIL_LNC009745)
Source: RNAcentral
UAUUGUCAUUUUUCUUUCAGUCUUGACAUCUCCAUCAGCCCGACUAAAGACCAUCCUCAGAGAGUUCAUCCAAAAAUCUGGCAGCAGCCCAUCUAAGACCUUAUUUGAGUGAUGUUUACUUUGCACUUCAGGUGGCUCAAUUGGCUUUUAAUCAGAUUUCGGGUGCGCUCGGAUCUGGGCCAUUGUGAGUCCAACCUUUGAAGAUUGCUGGUUACAUCUUCUCUUUGCGCGCAUUUGAGCAGGCUAGAUGACUCAAUGGUGUUCUAUUAUGUUUGGCGAACAUGUGUUUCAACUCCACGAGCGCAUUCAACUUUAGCUUGGAGAGAAGUGAAUUUGUCGAUGCAUAGCCGACCUCAAUGCCAGAUGACUCAAUUCUUUGACAGGUCUUGGGUGCGCUCAGGCCUGGGAUUGUUCGAGUCUAGUUUGAGUGGGGUUGUUGUUAUGUUUGGCAUCUCACGAAGUUGGGAGAAUUCUGCACAGCGGCUCGAGAAGAUUGAGUCUUUUCUUCUUGAUGCUUAAGCCAAGGAGAAUGAAGCCAUCGUCCGAAUUGCUUUGAUCAAGGAAGUGCUUGCUAUGAUAGAGAGGUGGAAGACAGAGAUGACGUUGUCCUUCAAGCAAGAUAGUGCCUCCUUCCAUAUUGUCCGAGGUGCAAUCCC